CCCCCCCCCCCCCCCCCCCAAGGAAUACUUCCAGGGCAAGAGGAGGUAUUUCCAGUGGAAAUGGUCAGGGGUUGUGGCCAGGACUUCCAGUGCCAAGAUGGCAACCAGGGAGCAGGGCACCUGUGAAGGGGUGGGGCUACCCUUGCAGUACUCCAUAGCUCACUAAAACUCAUUAAGCAGCCCUCCAGACUAAAUAAUUUCCCACCCCGGCUUAAUUGCAGUGUUGGUGGGAAAAGAAUUAAAUCAUGUCUUAUACUUCUCACAAUUUGAAGAUUUCUUCAAGUACUCAAAAGCUGACAUUCAAAAACUGAAUAGUCAACGUGAAUUCAUAUACUUAUUUAAAUGCAAGUUUAUUAUAUUUUUUUGGUGUAUAGUUUUUUGGGGAAUAUUUUAAAGCUCCCUCCUAUAAAACGACUUACUUUUGUCCCCAAACUAGUUACUGCAGCCUUUUCCUGAGAAUUUGAGAAAUAAGUAGUAGAGAAGAACCCACUCUUCAUAAAAGCUUUUGCCCUUUAAAAUAUAUUUCAUUUCUUCAACCCUGAACAUUUGAAUGCAAAGUUUCCCGGUUUCUGAACCUCAUGUCAGUACAUAUAUUUUGGGCUGGAUGCUAUUCCAUUUACUAGGUGUCAAAAUGAAAUUCUGUUCUGUUCUGUUCUGCUCAAGUCCCUAAAACAAUGCUAAUACAAAUGGUGUGUGGGUCCUUCUCCUUGAUGUUCUUUAUAGUCUUAAGGCUAAGAGUAAGACACCCUAAAAAGUAAGUAUUGUAAUAGUGUUGGGGUGAUGUAGCUGUUUUGUUUCAGGAAAUAUGGGAGAAGCAAUGAUUUUUGUGGGUGGUAUCUUUUAUUCAAGCAGUGCAUUGUUUGAGUUAGUUUCAGACAAACUCUGCAUUCAAAAGGUUGUUUAAAACUAUCCCAACCAUGCAGUAGAUCCAAUAAAAGAUAUCACUGCAUGGAAAGAUAUGUUGAUAGUUUUCAGAGACUUGACCUGGGUGGAAUAGGAUCAUACUUAGACACUUACAUGUUGACUAUUCAGUUUUUACAUGCCUCCAUGCUAUUUAGACAUGAGAUAGGUGGAAUAUAUUCUUCCCUUUGCCAUUUGAUUUGGCCAAGGUAAUAGGUGUUAAAAAUGAUGGAGUUUGUCUUCCCUUUUUAUUAAAUUAUUUGAACUUCUUAAGCCUGCCUUCAUUGAAUAUAUGUGCUUAACACAGUCAAUGUAUUUUAACUUUCCUCUGCUGGGUAAUGAGAACCUUGGAUUAUAAAAAUAAAACAGAGCUUGAACCAGGCUCUCAAACUUUGAUAGUAAUUAUUCCUCUUUUCAGUGCUUUCAAUUGCACUAAGUACCUCUUUCUUAUGUCUAAUGCUGUCUCUAUUCUAUACCUUCUUCCUUCCCCUCUUAAGUGCUUCAAUAUUCCCUUUCUCUUUUCCUCUUUUAAUUUCUAUCAGUUUCCUUUCUGAUGUCAGCUACUCCUCCUUCCCAUGGCUUGGACUAAAAUCAAGCAAAUCUAGAAAACCAAAGCAAUGCUGUCUACUCUCAAGUACAUCCAUACCUAUAUAUAGCUUACCAGUGUAGCUUACUGUUGAGUGUGUGCACGCACACACACAUGUGCCCAUGCACAUACACUCACAUCGUAUUUACUCAAAUAUAAGAUUAGGUCCCUCCCCCCCAUCAGCAUGGAGAAAAAAUGCUUCUCUUCUUACAUUUGCAUACAAGGAAAACUCAUUAAAUACAUUGUCUAUCAUUAAACUGCUGCAAAAGUAGCAUGUGCUCAGUAAUAGAAACCAAUUAUGGAGUAAAUUAAAUGCAGCCAAACUGAACAUGACUAUAAAACACAUGGCCCAUAUUGGGCAAACUUACUGAUGGCAGCCUCUUUUUUUUUUUUUGGUGUCUGGCCCUUAAAAAAACUGAGCAGAUAUUCCCUCUACAGGGAACUGGCAUCAGGCCUUGGAGAUACAGCAAUACCAGGACAGCUCUGGGAGGGGCAGGGGAGAGGGUGAAGAGAGAAAGGGAGAAAGAGGAAAAAGAGAGGAGGGGGGUGGAAGCUAGGUCACGUGGGUACUGUUGACACUGGAUUUGAACCUAGCACCUGUACUUUUGUUCCAGGCGGGCACAACCCUCAGACUGACCACAACACCUGCCAGUUGAUAAUAGGCAAAUUUAUUGAUACAGAGUAAGAACAGAAAAGCAGCAAUACAAACAAUUCUUUAUCUACCAAUCCUAGGGCUGUCAAAGUACGUCUGGCUAGGAUGCAGGCUCCACUCAGGCUCUUUCUCUUAGGUGUCAGCAGUCUGGAGGUGAGAUGCCAAGGCCCACAGGCUCCCUCCAGUAGGGUGCAUGAGAUGGGAUGCUGGUAUGCCCUCAGUCCAUGGUGACCUCAGGGACCCUUCCCAGGGGAUGGGGAUGGGAAGAGAAGGAGGGAUGGGACAAAGGGAGAGGUGGCAGGGACAGACAGGACAAAGGGAGAGACGGGCAAGACAAAGGGAGGGACCCUCUGUUACUCUCAGGUUUCUGCUUUGGUAUUCUCCUUUCCCUUGAUGACUCCUGAUGUCUCUUUAUGUGUGGCUAUCUCCAGUUGGUUCUCCCUCUGUGGUCACACAUCCACGUUGUCUCUGCUAGAGCUCAGCCCAAUGUACUAUAUGGUAAAUCGUGAGCCUUUUGGCUCUGGACUAAUAUAAUGCAUAACUUGUACUUUCUCUAAGUAGGUGCCAAAGUGCUGCUUAAAUGUGCAUUUCUGAAAUGCCUGUGCUAAAACUUGCAGCAAUUUCAAAAAAUGUUAAAUGCAUCAAUUCUGGAUGAAUAGAUUACUACAGGCAAAUUUAUUUCAAAAUGUUCAGUGCAGGAUCUAACAGUAAGAGAGAAGACAGGGUUUCAGGGGAACAACUGCUGUGGCAGUGGGAGGAGUACAGAUUCAAGGCAAACCUCCAAUAACUAGAUUUAUGUGCCUGGAAAAUUAUAGCAAAUGUAUAAUUUCUCCAUAUAUAGAAUCUAAUUAUUGGGGAAUUGUUUUAUGUUCAGGGUCAUCUUAUAUUUGGGUAAGUAUGGGGUGUUGUAUGUAUGCAAUGGUAACUCACAAACUACCUGUCAAAGCAGCCUCUUAAGAUUAAAAAAAUGCUUGGGGAAAAUUGUUUUCUGUGAUCAGGAAGUAUUUUCUUCUGUGAUCAUUAUGCACCAUACCAAAGUAGUAAAGCAUGCAUACAUGCAAGCAUGCCACCAUGAAGGCAUUUUUAAUGACUAUGUAAGGAAAAAAUAUAUGAAACUAUUUAAUAUGGCUUUAAAGUAGUUCAUUCAUUACUGUACUACUUGUCAGACCUAAGGCAAUUUGGAGUGUCUUAGUUGUCCAUUUCUAGAUUUAUGUAUUCCUGAAUUUCUUUUAAAGUUAACUUCCUCUGAUUUUUCUGCAUUUAAAAUAUGUGGCAUUAAAAGAACAGCCCUGAAAUGUUUAUUACCUUAAAACUAUGGUACAUGUUCUUGACUCCAUUUUAGAGUAUUGGGAAUAUAUCAUACAAUUCCAUAAAGUAUUUUGUAUUGAUUUCUUAAAACAUUUUCCCCAUUUUUCUAUUACAGCACAAUCAUUUAUCUCACAUUCAACCUUUUUUUUAAAGGUUCAAUCCAAAAUAGUUUGGAAUCAUGUGAAUCAUUUCUGUAAGAAAUCAGUUUUGUGCUGAAUAUAAAUACACUUUGAACGGCAGCAGUCUAAAUCACUUGAUUCAUUUUAGUAUCAAACUUUAUCUUGUUUGUUUUGUCUUCUCUUGCUGUGUUGCUCUUUAUCUUGAUACUUAAAAUUCCAAUCAGUUCUCCAGCCCUUCCAGGAAACUCCAGUUCUAUGCACAUUUUAGCAUUUGUAUAUACCAAGGGUUUUACGGACUUUUUUCUUCAGUAUGUUUUUUUUCUUUAUUUCACCUUUUCAGCAGCCUCAGUGGCAAAAGCAACUUCAUAAAUUGCCUUGGAAUCCGAACUUCUCCCCUAUCAAGUAUUCUUUCUCCAUCAGUUUUCCAGAAACAAAUGUUACUUUGUUCAUUCUUUACACCAUGUUUGUGUGCAUUGACAUCCAUUACAUUGAGCCUAAGUAUAUAUCUGGAAAUCUAUUACCUUCUAAUAAUAUUAUCUUUAUAAUGUUACAUAGUAGUUAUUAAGUAUAUUAAAAAAGAGGAAUACAAUAUGUUUUAUAUCUAAAUGGUGCUAGAGUUUCAGAAGGGAGCAUUUAAUCAACUUCAUAAUUGGUUUCCUAGCAAUUUCUAAAAAUCAGAGCAAUAUAGCUUGUAUCAAAUUUAAGAACCCAAAAUUCUCCAGCCACAUUUGAAAAUCAUUACCAAUAUAACCAGGUUCCUGUCCUGAGUCUGGUAUUGUUUAACAUCUUUGUAACCUCCCAUGAUGUUCACUUAAGCGCUUCGCCUUUUGCCAUUCGGAUGCAGCUGUCUCCUUUUGAGUUGACAGCUGCCUUCCAGUAAGAUACCUUGAAAGGUUCUCAGGGAUUCUUGCCUGCUGCAUCUUGUUGUUACAGAUUAUUGCUGGGAGGACAUUCUUGAAUCCUGCCCCUCCUGAUUCCCUCUUUUGGCUUCCUUACCUGGAUCUCCAUCUCGGAUCUCUGCCUCCCCUACACCCUGCCUUGCGCCAACCAAAGAUGAAGAUAAUCCUUAACUGAGGCUAAAAUAAAGUCUACCAGCCACAGCUGGGCCUUAGUUGGUAUCUAUUCACAGUCCUGGUUUGGAUGGUGUACCAUCCUUAUUCAAGCCUUGAGUCAGUCUGAUUCAUCCUUAUGUUCGUCCUGGAGUGCCUUACUCCCAGGCACUCUCCCUUUCCCUGAUGGCUACUUAGAGCUUCAGCCUCCUUUCUUCUUUUUCUCUUCACAGACUCACCUGUGUACCAGUUUCUACCAGCAUUAUCCGGGAUCCACGGCCUCAAGAAAGGGCACCUGAAAGAAGGAAAAUACCACACGCUAGAAAUGAAGACUGCAUUAUGUCCUUUGCCACAGCUGCCUUCAUCUUGUCUGUAGGAAGUUCAGAGCUUCUCUAGCUGUUAGCUGGAGAGAAAUGCUAGAAUAGCAGCAUUUUUGGUCAACAUGUACUGCCUGAAAGAUCAAUUACUCCCAAGGGGAAGUGUAGCUGACACUCCUUACCUAUAACAAAAUGCUGAAGCUGUAGUGCACUUUGGACUGCCAAAGUGACUCUGGAGCAUUGAAAAAUUAUGCUGUGUGGCAAAAACAAAGGAUCUUUCCCUGAAGAAGAACUGUUUGGAUUCAUUUAAUCAGCUGCUGAUAUGAGAGACACUCCUAUACAGCAGGUGGUAGGUUGUACCUAAGUGAUAUGCUGUGCUUGACAGGUCCGUGAGUCUGCUGGAGGCUGAAUAUUUGACAUGUUGGUUGCAUUUGAACAUAAAACUGGCUGCAGUUUCUAUUGCUUCACUUAAGCAAAGGUUUAAGAAAAAAACUACAGUUACAAAUUGCAAGUAAAUGGUUUUGCUGAAUGCAUUGCUGUAAUAUAAAAUAUAAUUACUUUUUUUUAGUUUCAGAGGUGGCUAUCAGAUCAGGACCCUUUGUGCUGUAUUUUCCAACUAUAUACCACGAUACAGUCCCUGCCUCAAAGAGGUUACUAGGUAAAUUAAGACAAGUACAAAACGUUGACAUAGAAUGGGGUGGGGAAGAGAAUGACAGGAACAGUGAUAAGAGGUUGUUGGCUUAUUAUUCAAUUUACAGGUUAGCGGUAGGUUGUUUAAAAUAGAGACAUUAAUUAUGUCCAUAGCCUCAGAAAACCACCUGUCUAUCCAUUAUCAGCUCACAACUUACCAUAGAUAGCAUGGAAGAAAUGGGUCUUCAGGAAAGAUUUUGAAAUCAAUUAAUACAAAACAGGAAGAUGUAUGAAACCAAAUUAAAUAGUAAGUUAUCUUGAUUUGAUCCCUACCUUUCUUAGAGUCUGAGUUCUGUUGUUGUUCACAAAUUUCUCUCACAUUUUUUUUGUCAAUGUUGAAUGCUCUUAAUUGAAUUCUGGCUUUUGCUUUCCUGCAAUGUUAAUACAACUGUACAAUGAUCAGAAAAGUAAAAAAGACAAAAAAAUCAUAACUGUUGCUAAGACCAAGGAGCCAGACAUUUCCCAACCAAUUAUUGAAACAGUUACACAGAUUGCAAUGUGUUUCAACUGUUUAUUACAACUUAAGGUAAAUUUAUUUGAAAGCUAUAUUGGCAGAUGCAAAUAAAAAUAUACAUCAUUGGUCUUGGGCUUAUUAUAUAGUUGGAUCAACAAACAGCCUUGUUUCACAUGUGGUAGGAAAUGGAAAUGUCUAAGUACUGGCCAAAGGAAGAUCUUUGUAACCUUUGUUGCUGAAAUAUUUAUUCAUUGUAAAUGUGGAAGCAAUCAGUUCGGCCCAAAUCCUGGUUCGCUUAGGAAUCUAGGUGCCUGUACAUGAGUGCGGAGGCUGCUCUGAGGCACUGUAAUUACUGACACGAUUAAUCAAGUCUUCUGGAGCAUGGUAAUUACCACACUCCAGCAGCCUCCCACUUCUUCUCGUGUACCAGCAUCCCUGUGCUUCAAAAUGGUGGAGGCACUUGAACUAAAGCUUGUCAAAUGAGCUUUAGUUCAAGUACUUGCACCACUAUUUUGAAUUGUGGAAAUGCUGAUACAUGAGAUGCUGUGGUAUUUUAAUUAGAACAGCUUUCAGAGCCACUCUCAUUAAAGUGUCUCCCACCCCUCCACCCCCAGAGCAUGUGUAGAAGUGCCCUAAAUGCUUCUUACACAUUUAAAUGUAGAAACUGAAGGUGCACUUUGUGCAAUUUACAUAGGUUUUAGAUCCCUUUUCCAUGUGCACAACUAGACUUGUCCUUCUGAGCAUGCUUAGAAGGAAUUGCUAUCAGCCAUUUGUGGUGAUUCUUUUCUUCCUGGGAAGACACAGAUCUUUGUAAAUCCCCAAGUUCCAGGUGCCUCUCAACAUGUAAAUGUGGAAAGAAGGCAAGUCAGGGAGUGAGUGGCAACAUGAUUCAGUGAGAUGGGCACCAUUCCAGAAAGGAGGAGGCUGGAUUCUGGCCUCUACUCCUCUACUGCACAAAAAUUUUCCUAACAAUUUUUUCUGCACUUUACAUAUAGCAGUGUUUAGUAAACAGUUUUAGGGGAAUAAAUCAGAAAUGUUUUCAUUCUCUCUCUCUCUCAAUUUGAUAAUAUUUUUAUUUGUUUGUUACUCUUUGUAUUAACAUUCGGGUCUUAUUUUUAUACACACAAAUUCAAUUUGGCAGAGUCUUAUAUAUGUAACUUCACAAACUCAAUAGGAUUACUCCCACAUAUAAAUUUAAACAUGUGGAUUGAUCGAUAAAAAAUAUUUGUGUAUCAUCUGGGUUUUUGCAGGGCUUUCAGCUGUAAUGUGUUCAAAGGGAAAAUCUACAGUAGCUGGCAAUUCUAAUUCAGUAUCAGCAAAAAAUAAUUUGGAUGUGAGCAACAUUGGACUAAAGUGGUUAGUGAGAUGAAAUUUCUAAUUUGCCAUUUCAGGAUUGUUAACUCUGAACAGCCAAAUCAUAAUUAUUUAUGAUUAUUAUUUUAAUGUAUUGUUUUAGUGUAUAUGAAUAAUAUUUAUUAUUGAUAGCAAGGAAACCUAGAUGAUUGUUCUAUUUCAAAGCAAAUAAUAGAUUUAAAACCUGUCUCCCAUUUUGAAAGUGUGUUUGUGAGAGGUUUUCUAUACUUCCAUGAGGAAUAUUGGGAGGGUUAGCAGUAUCUUUCAGUGUCUUUGUUGUAACUCUUGCUUAUAUAGAGCGGCAGUUACACAAAAAUGGCAUUUUCUAAAAAAAAAAAUGCAACUUUAGUGCAAGUAUUUGUUAUAAUAGACAGGAUCUGUAAUAUUAAUUGGCAUGGCUAGUGCUGUGAAUAAGUCAGCAGGGACAUUUAGUAUGGAUAGAACUGAGAUAGAUUUUUUUCUGCUUCCUAUAGCAUAAUGUGGAACACACAAAACUACUUAAGUAGGUAUUGCAAACAAUUGCCAUUAUGAACUGAUCCUGUAAGUGAGAGCUCCCACUGGAAUUGCAUGGUCUCUCUGUUGCUUUAGUCUUUGCAUCAUUCUUUAACAAUUAAGAACACAAAGUAUUUUAACGGUAAAUAUAUUUAAAUGAAUAUAGUAAAUAUACGAGAUUUAGUAGGAAGGAUUUUUGAUUCUCCUGUUUCCAUAAUUAAUCUUCUUUACUUUAACCCUCUGCACUUUAUAAUGUAUGUCAGGAUUAGUAUAAUAACCUAAUUUAUGUGACCAAUAUAUGCACACUGUACCUCACCUCAGAAGAGCUCAGGCGGAUUCAUUUCAGGCACCUUAGACAGAUCCAUGGAUUGACUUUUAUAUCACACAAACUGAAGUAGCAGGUUAUGUAACAAUAAUAAGAUACUUUCGUGACAGACAGCAUAUGAAUAUAUAAGGCAGAUAAUAUGUAGUAUUCACUAGAGAGAAAAAUCAAAGAAAGCCUUCAACUGAGGUAGGUGAAAUCCAAACAUGGGGCAUAAAUGCACUAGUUCUGUCUUAAUUUUUAGUGUUUAGAUAAAAGAAAGUGUUCUUUAGAACAAGUGAUGUCUUAUAAGUUAGGGGAAAAAGCAAGGUAGAUUUGUACCUUAUGAACUAAACCAGAGAUGCUAUGCAUAGCAUCUCUGGUUUAGUUAGUCUAUACGGUGCAAAUCUACUUUGUCUUCUUCCUGAUUUCAGACUAGCACAGUAACCACUUAUCUCUGCUUAUAUAUUUUGGGCCAUUUUUGUUCUAAUUGUUCAGACUAACUUGUUUGGCAGACCAGACAAAGACAAUGCACCUUUUCUUCUUACUGCAUCUGGCUGAUAACUUGAAAGAGGUCAAGUUUGGUAUAGAACUUGGAGCCCUGUGAGCAUGUCUGUCCUCAUACACCUGCAUUACAGACCUUUCAGAUGGGAGGAAAUGCCCAAAAUGUUAAACUCCUUUAUACCUCAUGGCUGUCAUGCCCACUGCCUUUGUGUAGUGGUCAUUGUCAUUAGUGAACAAUAAAGCUAAAUAGAAAAAAUGUAGAAUCAGAGCUUCUAGUUUUCACUAAAAUAGAAAAGUCAAGCACAUUUUUCAAUGCAAAAGUCAACCAUAUACCUAAAUUGUCAUCUUCCUGUAAAGUAUUUUACAAGGAUAGCAGCACAAACUAUGAUGUUAGGAUUGUCUCUUUAGGGUACAGUACCUUAAUAUUGAGGAAUUUCAAUCCCAGGAGAGAGAUCCUUCUUCAGCUGGCUGUACAAAAUAUGUCAUAUUGCUUCAGAAAACACAUAGUAUCAUAGUAUCAACUACCAACUUGUUGCUUUUUUUAUAUCUUGCAUUCAUCAUGGAUGGUCUGGAAUGGCAUUAUAUGUCCCAAAAGGCAUUCUGGCACGUCAUACCCAAAUGAUAUCACUGGAUAAAAGGCUAUUAUCUUAGCCAGUCCUGAUCAAAGUGGGCAUGUCAAUUCCAACUGUAAGUGGCUUCUAGGAAACUUGUGGAAUUUUUGGGAAGGAAAUUGGGAUCCAUUCCUUUUAGAACCACUUAGAAUCUUUUCCAUCUGGUUAAUGAUUUGGAAUCGUAUUUCAAAAAGCACUAGUAAUAACUACCAAGUUUUCUGUGUUAAAGUACUGGCCCCACCAAAGAAAUCUACACCUUGGGAAUUUUCAUCCACAAUUUAUUCCUGAAUGCUACCUGACAUUACUUAAUAUUAUCUGAUACCACCAACUUCUAUAAUGAAUUUAUACAACCCCUGCUUAGUGCUUUUAAUUGGUUCUGGAAAAACUGAGCGCUAAGUGAAACAGCAUUAGGAUUUAAUGUAAAUAAAUAUAAUUGGUUCCACACAACGUGCUGCCCUGCCCUGGGCCCGACCACUGCCAGAUUGCUGCAGGCUCAGGACAGUAUCCAUGCCUUGCAGGUGAGUGCAUGACUGGAAUGGCACGGGCUGCAGCCCAGGAGCAGGAGAGGCUCCACAGGCUCUGCCCUGCUAUGGGCUGGGGCAGGGGACAAUGUGCACAUGUCCUACCACCCCGGGCCCCGCGCUCCUGCUGCCCCGUCAGUCCAGGCCACGUUCACACCCCCUGCCCACCUGUCCUUUUUUGCUGCCACCGCCACUCUUCCCCACCUGCCCACCAGCUGUGGGCUCCUGCCACCCCGCCCUCCCUGGGCCCUGCCAGCCCUGGCCCUAGGCACCAGCCCGGGCUCCAUGUUCAUGUGUCCCUCUCCCCCCACUUCUCACUGCCGCUGCUCCUCCCCACUGAUUCCAGCACCACGUGCAGGAGCAAACCCCACUCUCCUGCUGCCCUGACCUGGGCCCCUGCUGGCUGUCACUCACCUCUUCAUUCUCUGCCGCCGCCAUCGCUGCUUUUCCCCAGCCCCACGCUGAGCAUUUUAAUGAAACUGCACACUAAGUGAAACCAGGUACAUACUUUAGACGAGCACUAUAACGAAACUACAGUAAGUGAAACUGCGUUAAGCGGGGGUUGCCUGGAUAUGCCAAGAAUGAGCAAGAUCAAAUUACACAAGAGAAUGGAAACAAACUGAGCUGCCCAUGUUCCAGUUAUGGAACUUGGCAGACCAUUAAGACUGUAUAGACUGUAGUGUAGAGAAGACAGAAUACCCAGCCAUGGCAAAUUUCAUAGGAAUAUCACAGUUGCUUUCCAAAAGCAAAGCCACUAAAUGAGGUAAAAGCUUUCAGUCAUGCAGCAAAAAUGAUGGUUUCUAAGAGAUGGCAGAUACCAAGUGUAGACACAACCACAGCAUACUAUCAUUUAUUGAGUGCUUUACAUCACCUUCAGCCUAAUAAGGCUAGAUAAUACCCAUAAUGAGUUCAGCAACCAUUUCUAAACAAUUGUUAGAAGCUGCCUGCUUUGAUUUCUGAAUGCAAGUGGGCAGCAGCAUCCCCCAAAUCUGUUGAUUUCAGCUAGUCAGUGUAUCACAUAAUGUUUCAAUUAUACACCAACCAAGCUUAUGUUCUAGAAUUACAUAGCUUCAGAUUUGCCAUCACUUCUAAGUUUACCCAGAGAGGUUUGACAGAAAAGGUUUGCCCUUGAUCUAUGUUCUGUUUUCAGAUAUGAAGAAAAUGUUCAGUGUUAAUUCAAAUAUCUGCUUGUAUUCAGAGAAGAAAUCUUACCCCUGUGGACUAGCUGUGACCCAGCUAACUCAUCAGCAUUCAUUUUUGCAAAGGCCACUCAUGCACAAUGACUAAGGAGUUUUGAUUAUAUGCACAAUAAAUUUUGAUUAUA
This is a long non-coding RNA of Alligator mississippiensis (American alligator), 11181 nucleotides long. RefSeq lists it as uncharacterized. The record is from RefSeq and is a predicted model, not a curated record. The transcript is spliced from 2 exons. Lineage: Eukaryota; Metazoa; Chordata; Crocodylia; Alligatoridae.